RNAcentral lists this ribosomal RNA (369 nucleotides) under uncultured organism. Its description in RNAcentral is "bacterial SSU rRNA". It matches the Rfam family "Bacterial small subunit ribosomal RNA", at positions 526 to 896 of the family's 1533-position model. The record is from RNAcentral.
CGGAGGAUCCAAGCGUUCGUCCGGAUUUAUUGGGUUUAAAGGGUGCGUAGGCGGGUUAUUAAGUCAGUGGUGAAAGCCGGCAGCUCAACUGUCGAACUGCCAUUGAAACUGAUAGCCUAGAAUAUAGUAGAGGUAGGCGGAAUGUAUCAUGUAGCGGUGAAAUGCUUAGAUAUGAUACAGAACACCAAUUGCGAAAGCAGCUUACUAUGCUAUUAUUGACGCUGAGGCACGAAAGCGUGGGGAUCAAACAGGAUUAGAUACCCUGGUAGUCCACGCUGUAAACGUUGAAUACUCGAUGUUGGCGAUACACUGUCAGCGUCCAAGAGAAAUCGUUAAGUAUUCCACCUGGGGAGUACGCUCGCAAGAGUG